UUGUGCUCGGCUGCGUGAGGCCGGCGGGCACUGCCGAGAGCCAAAGCGAGGUGUCUGACGGGCCGCGGAUGGCAUGCAGGCGAGCCAAUUUUUUCUGCCCUCCCUUUGGUUUUCGGGGAGGGGGUGCGGCGGAGAGGAGAUGAGCCUGUGCCUGCAGUUGGCAUCCCCCCAGCUGUGACGAAGGGCAGCCCCGCUUGCAUAGGAAAUCAUGCUGAUUUCUGCUUGGGCUCAAAGCCUUGCCCCCUUUGGUACAAGCCCCAGCCAGUCCAUUAGAACUGCAUACUGCCUACUGAAAAUUAGUCCCAAGGCUCCACCUUAUAGCAAGAGGGCCAGGAAGUGUGGAGGAGCCCAGGAUAUUUGAUGGAAAUCUGAGAUCCUGACAUCUAAGAAGAGACCUGAUUUUGGCCUUGUGUUUCCUCUCAGAGGAGAAGACCAUAUGGUGGAGAGACUGACGUGAAACCACUCUAACAAAAUAAGUCGACAGUUUUGGCAACCAGGAAGGAAACCAGAGCAGACGUCUCUCCUUCGCCUGAGCUCUGAGGAUCUGAGCCUUGGUACCAGCAGAGGCCUUGUGGGCCCAUCCGCCUCCUCGGAGAGUCCAGAAGAAUUUGGACUUUAAAUGAAGCAAGGACAUAGUCAAGAAAACCUCUAGUGAACACAAAGACUUUGAGAAAAAGAUAUACUCAAGUCCCACCUCCCACCAAGAAAGAGAAAAAUAAGGGUCAGGCAUCUGAGAUAAAAUCACAAUGGAAUUCAGAGAAUGACAAAAACAAAGUGUUUGGGAUCCCUUGGUGUGGAGCUUAAAAAGAGUCUAGAUUGUAUGAAAGAUGUGUGAUGCAGACAACUCUUGCACCCCACUUCACCAUGCUCUGAGCCCCACCUGGCACUCCAAACUCUGCUACAGUGAGGUGACCAUCUCCAUGCGACCCUCCAUCGGCUGUGGCAGAUGCAACCCAACAGUGCUUUUCCUUGGGUCACAUAACUACCGCUUACUGCCUGGAGACUUCUCUGACACUUGAGCGUGGGAUAUUCUUGGAAUCUUGCAAAAUGUUCAGAUGUGCCGGGAACUUAAUAUCUGAGGAGUCUGUCUGUCCAAACAGGGAUGGGAACUGACAGAUAAAUGCUUUUAUCUUUCAUCCCCUAAGCAAACAGCUCUGACAUAUUUCAUAAGGCUUCUCAGAAUGUGUCACGGGCUUGAGUGCCAGUCACCUGUUUGGUGGCCAACUUGACAAUAUAUCCUAGAACCAGCUUUUGUGUCUUUCCUCUUUCACAUGUCCUGCUAUGGGCUUCUAUUCCUUAGAAUCAGAUGCUCCUCAAAAUUAUUGGCAAUCCAGUCUCUGUCUCAGCUCUUUGGAAAAGACUAAAACAAAAACAGUGAGGAUAUAGAGGAAGAAAGAAGGAAAAAAAAAAAACCAGGAGUAAAUAAAUCAUGUAUUGUUCCUAAAAAAGUAGACAGUUAAUUGAUUUAUGUCCUAAAUCAAGGCUAUGUUGUUAUGAGUAACUUAGAGAAAGUGGGAGAGUUUUACAGGUAACUGGGAUUUUCAAGUUCCUGAUUGACUGAGAGCACAAUCCCCAAAUGUCCCAUUCUCCAGGAUUUUAAAUGUGUUGUCUAAAUGGAGAUCUAGAAAAAUAUAUUUCCUUCCAAUCCCAA
Camelus dromedarius (Arabian camel) is the source of this 1651-nucleotide long non-coding RNA. RefSeq lists it as uncharacterized. The transcript is spliced from 8 exons. NCBI's taxonomy places the organism in Eukaryota, Metazoa, Chordata, Mammalia, Artiodactyla, Camelidae. The record is from RefSeq and is a predicted model, not a curated record.